Anolis sagrei ordinatus is the source of this 1517-nucleotide long non-coding RNA. RefSeq lists it as uncharacterized. The record is from RefSeq and is a predicted model, not a curated record. NCBI's taxonomy places the organism in Eukaryota, Metazoa, Chordata, Lepidosauria, Squamata, Anolidae.
GGUUCUGUCAGAGAAGUAAGACCGCCAACUGGCUCACAGGAGAAGCGUCCAUUCCUGAAAAGGAAUUGAGCAAUUCAUUGUUAAAGUAUUACUCACUGCACCACUCAUUUUUACAAAGAUUAGUCUGACUCAUCUUUGGAAUUAGACUUUUAUUCAGUUCUCUUUUCAGUCAGUAAUGAAUAGGAACUUGAAAAUACGAAUACAACUUCAUGUCUAAAUCAUCAGUCUAUAAAGUGAAUGCAUACUGCUAUCCUAUGGGCAGGUUCCCAUUGAAAUCACAGAUUAUACUCUCUGGAUCAAUAACACUAUAUUCAGGCAAUAUAGGUAUUCCAAAAAGUAGCUACAGUAUUAUAUAUUUAUCCUGCCUAUUGCUGACAUAAUUCUUAUAACAAUCUUAAGAUGUAGAACCGGCAGAUGUCAAGGUGUUACUGAAUUGAAGACUGUCACCUUGGCCAUUGCCUAUGAUGCCUGAGGCUAAUGAAAUCUGAAGUCCCAAAAUCAUAAAAACACAGAUUCCCCAACCACAGUACCGAUACAUCCAUUUUUCACUGAUGUAUACUCACAAAGGGAUCUUAUUGCAUCUUUCACACGUACCUGAUGAAGCAGACUUAAGUUUACAAAAAACGAUGCUACUGAUUUAUUUCUCAAGUCUUAAAAGUGUUACAAGAUUCCUUUCCAUACGGACAUAAAUAUACAGGCAUACAGGCCCUAGUUCCAAGGUGGUGUAAGGCUGAUGAAAGGGAUGGAUAUUGUGUGGAAAAGUGACAUUUUGUUCCUCAAAAUGUAUCAGUGUACUGUAUAAAAAUGCAGAAUACAAUUUGGAUUUUUAAUGGUGUGCAUUACUUUGGAGUAACCCUCAUACCAUCUUAUUAAGUGCUGACUUGUUUUUUUUUAAAACUCAAGUCUUUAGCAAUAAGUUAAUCUGAUUCAAAAUUCAAUAUAGCAAUUCAAGACAUUUCUGUAGAUUUAGGGUAUCUUUUCUGCCUAUAACAGCCAAGCUGCCUUGAUCUUACAAGCUGUGCAUAAUUUUUAAACAAGGCAAGAAUAUUAUAAACCUGCCUUAUAGAGGCAACAAUAUGCACAAAUUAUACUUGGAGAAAUUAAAAGCAUUUCCAUGUAUGAAAAAUGUGUCCGUCUAACACUUAGCACAAUUUAAAGAUGCUGUUCACAUUAACUGAAUGAUUAAAGAACAAAAUAACAUAUUAACAUACAUCACUCUGUCUCUUGCCACAUAGGAAACAAGACUUUAAUCUUUUGUAGAUAAUCUUUAACUAAAAAAGAAUUAAAGCAUUAUGGGGACAAAAUCUCAAAUUGCCUAUAAUUUAGAGAAAUGUGCCUGAAACUGGCUGGGACAAUAUUCAGUAAUAAUAUUCAUUUGUUUUGGCGAUAGUGUUUUGGUUGUAUGGCCCCAGGGUAGUUAUUUUUGUAUUGCAAAAUAAAAUACCUGGGUCCAGGUUUUGGAACUUUCCCAGCUUUCAAUUCAUCAAGUAUGUCUUCAAUGUCUUUUGUUGUUAAAU